RNAcentral lists this unclassified non-coding RNA (8086 nucleotides) under Drosophila virilis. RNAcentral's name for it is "GJ17604". The record is from RNAcentral. Lineage: Eukaryota; Metazoa; Arthropoda; Insecta; Diptera; Drosophilidae.
GUGCGGUUGUGCGCGUCGGACAAAAAUGAGCCAAAUGAGCGUUUUCCCAAUAGUUUAAAACACCAAACACGCGCAAAACACUGCAGACUUCGCGAAACACGCUAAAAGCAAAAGUUAACAGCAAAACACGGUUAAUCAAAUUUCGACAAGACGCCCAAGGCUGCUCACCAGUUUUUUGUAAAACAGCUGCAAAUAAGUUCAACUGAGUGAAACAAAUUGUUUCGAAAAAAAAAACACAGUUGGAUGCUGUGCAAAAAGCAACAACUCGACGACAAAAAUAUCGUAUAUGCGUCUUAUGCUGUGCCUGUGUGCGCCCUAAAAGUGUGCGAUUGUAUGUGUGUGCGUGUGUGGUCCAGUUUUGUGUAUAACAAAAAGAUUUUUGCGCUGAGUAUCCUUUGAAGGUGCUACUAAGGUUGUAUGUGUAUUGUGCAAAAGCUGAGCUGCAGCGCAGGAUAACGCAUUAGUCAUCAGCGAAAACAGCAGCAGAGCAGCGGGCAGCGCAGCCAGCGCAUCCUGUCUGUUGGUGCCGGUUCACACACAAAUAAAAAAAGCAAUAAAAACAACAAAAAAAGCUACAGCACUAACAGCAACAACAACAACAACGACAACAACUUGUUCUCCAUGCAUCGUUUAACCCCUGCGUGCGUGUAACAACAAUAACAACAACCAAAAGAACGCAGGCAAAAAGGAAAUUGAGAAUGGAGCGUAAAUUCACGCGCGGCUUGAAUAAGCCGGGCAUGGCCGCACAGCUGAGAGAGAGCGUCUCUCAGGUGGUGCGUGAGAGCGCAGUUUUGAGCAAGCCACUCGUCGUGGAGCCGGUCGACUUUGAAGCCUUUAUAGCCAAAAAUAAAACACUCAUACAAAAUGAUCCGCAGCGGGAGCUGCUUAUCUAUCCAGCGGACGAUGUCUCGGAGAUUGUCAUGCCGCGUAAGCAGCGCACAAAUGUCAAAUCGGUGGCGGAUCGCUUUGAGCCACCCAAUGAGGCAAUCGUGUGUCCACUGCAUGGCUCCGUGGUGCUGGGCAGCAAUGGUCACAGUCAGGUGAGCCGGCAGAGCAGCCUGCAGUCGAAUGGCAGUCUCCAUAAUGGGCACAGCAGCAAUACCAGCCUGUCCAACGGCAAUGGUCAAUUGUCGCGCAAGAGUUCGCAGUGUUCCAAUGGCUCGGCGAGUCGAAAGACAUCGCAGGAGUCCUCUUAUGAAUCGGCGUUGUCCUCCAGCACAUUGCGUUCGCAUUUGGCACAGCCCGAGGAGGUAGAUGAAUAUGCGGAGGAGGAGACAGCAGCUGGCGAGGAUGCAACAGACGCAACUACGCUGGGUACGCGUGCCGAGUGCACGCGCUUCACACGCCAAGCGCUGUACACGUAUCGUGCCAAGAAUCAUCUUAUCCACUACAAAUACAGUGCGUAUGGUGGCAACUGUCACGAUCUGCCCAGCACAUCACCCGCCGAGGAAUUGCUGGAGGAGCUGUACGAAAUCGAUGCCGAUCAGGAUCGCAUUGAUGAGCAAAUGACGCGCUCCCAGGCGGAUACGAUUACCAAGCAGGGUUAUCUGUUGAAGGGGCCCGAUUCGGCCUCGGAUCGCAUGUUCGCCAACAUUGGCAACAAGUCUUUUAAGCGUCGCUAUUGCUAUCUGCGCCAGGAGAUCGAUGGCACCUACAUGCUCGAAUUGCACAAGGAUGAGAAACAGGGCGAGGCCAAGGCCACCAUUGUCAUGGAUUUUUGCACGGAAGUAGUGCAGAAUCCCAAACGUGGUCGCUUCUGUUUUGAGCUGCGCAUGACAGCUGGCCACAAAUCCUUUACCCUGGCCGCUGAGAACGAGCAGGACUUUAAGGAUUGGCUAACCAAACUGUCCUCAGUGCUGGCACAGAACAAGGCGCAGGAAGAGAAGCGCAAUGCAUCGCUGGAACGUCAGCCGGCUGCCAAUGCGACGCCCACGCCGCAGCUGCAGCCGCCGGCCAUGGAGCCGCCCACGUUUGGUACACUCAAAGGCCUGGAUCAGUCACUUCAUCCACAGCUGAUGAAAUACGGACGCGAGACGGAUCACUCUAUUGCGCAGGCGCGUCGCGAGCAGCGUCGCCGCCUCUUCGCCUGCUAUCAGAGCCACGGCAAGGCUGUGACCAAUGACAAUGUGGAGCAAUAUCGCGAACACUUUGGCACACGCGUCCUGCUCACCUGUCAAUCCUUGCGCUUUCGACUACAGUGCCAGCCAGUUGAUUUGGCGGAUGGUGCAGGCGGUGAACAGUUGUGUCAGGUGGAGCCCUACAUUACAAGUUUAGCGCUGUACGAUGCGAAGGCCGGGCGCAAACUUAGCGAGAGCUUCUACUUCAACAUCAACGAGCCGGCGGCAGCUCAGAUGCUGCCCAACACCCCAGUGCCCGCCUCUGUGGCGGGCUGUGGCAUACCCAGGCGCGCGGAGAGCGAUGAGCGCAAUGCUGCCCAGGCGCCACAUUCACUAUUUGAUGGCGUCUCCUCAGAGCUGUUGCGCUGUCCGCGCCAGCAGUUCCAGCAGCUGCGCCAGUGCAUGUUGUCGGUGAGUGCGCCGCAUGCGGACAUCUAUCUGGUGCUGCGCAUCGAGAAAGUGCUGCAGAGCAGCAUUGCACAGGCGGCCGAGCCGUAUCUAAAGGCCGCACGUGAUGCCAAGUUGGGACAGAAGGUGCACAAGGCGGCCAAGAGCUGUGCCCAGCACAUUGGACACUAUCGCCAGCCAUUUGCGUGGGCCGCCCGACCUCUGUUCAAGGCCUACAGCCAUGAACUGGACGUAGAGUCGCAGUGCAUAUUCGAGUUUAAUACCAUCUAUCGUCAGGAGCUGGCCAAGCUGCGUGAUGAGGAGCUGCUCAAGCUGCUGGCCGACUAUCGCAAGCCAGAGAAGCUUAGCAAGUUGAACAUCAUACCGGGCUAUAUGAGGCUGCAGGUGCAGCUGCUGGACCAGACGGCCCCGUGCGGCUUGAGUAAAUCCCUGGCGCCUUUGUCCACUUUCAGUGCCUCCGCCAAGCAGCCGCUCACCUUGGAACUCUCAGAGUUUCAGAGCCAAACUGAGCGCGAUGCGUAUCCCUAUACUAAUUUCUGUAAUCAUCUUUAUGUGUAUCCCCUGAGCCUGCAGUUCGAUAGCCAAAAGUUGUUCUCACGGGCUCGGAACAUUACGGUCGUCGUUGAGCUAAGAGAUGGCGAUGGCGAGUACAGUAAACCCCUGAAGUGCAUCUAUGGUCGUCCAGGUCAGGAUUUGUUGGUCUCGCAGAUUGCCUGCCCGGUGCUGCAUCAUAAUGUGACGCCCACUUGGUACGAGGAAAUUAAACUGCGCCUGCCGCUGGGCCUCUUUCCGGAGCAUCACUUGCUCUUCUCCUUCUAUCACGUGUCGUGUAAUCUGAGCAAGAAACGUGAUGCACAUGCAUCGUUCGAGACGCCCAUUGGCUAUGCCUGGCUACCAUUGCUGCAGAAGAAUCGCAUCUGCUUGGAGGAGCAGAUGUUGCCCGUAGCUGCAACGUUGCCCGUGGGCUAUCUGUCGAUCCAGCCGCUGGGCUGGGGCAAGGGGCAGAACUGCGGCCCGGACAUUCAAUGGAUCGACAAUCAGCGUGCUCUCUAUAGCGUUGGCCUGCGUCUGGACUCCACGGUGCUAACGUCGGAUCAGCAUCUGCAUAACUUUUUCGCCCACUGCGAACGGCUGCUGGAGGGCGGCAAGACUGGCGCCCUGCCCGCCGAGACGGAGACAUGCAAAAUCCUGAAGGCGGCGCAUGCCAUCGACAUGCGUUCCCUGAUCAACUUUCUGCCCACGCUGCUCAACGAGUUGUUCACGCUGCUGGUGCACACCCAGUCCGAGGAGAUUGGCCUGAAUGUCAUCCGACUGCUGACGAACAUCAUUCAUCAGAUCAGCGAUGAGGCGAAGCGCACAGAGCUGUUGGCCGCCUAUGUCAAAUACGUGUUCCAUGCUCCUUACUACAGUCAGCAGACGGCACGAUUGCGCACGGUUCACGGCGAACUGUGCCGCCAUCUGCCCUACCUGCUCAAUCCCAACAACACGGACUUUCUCAUAGUGAACAAGUUCAUGCGCUACUCCGCGAUAUUCUUCGAUCUGAUUGUGAAGAGCAUGGCUCAGCACCUGUUGGCCACGGGUCGCAUACGCAUGCUGCGCAACGAACGCUUUCCCAAGGAGUAUGCGGAUCGUGUUGAGCAAUUGAUCAAGGCGCUGGUGCCGUAUAUAACCACCCGCUACGAGGAUCUCGGCGAAGAAACGCAGCUGCUGAACCGUUCGCUGGCGCGUUUUGUACGUCAAUGUCUCAGCUACAUGGAUCGUGGAUUUGUGUUCAAGCUGAUUCGCUUCUACAUGGAGCAGUUUGCGCCUGGCAAUCCGCGCGUGCUGCACGAGUAUAAGUUCAAUUUUCUGCAAGAGAUUUGCCAGCACGAGCACUAUGUGCCGCUCAAUCUGCCGUUUGUGCUGAACCCCAAGAAUCGGCCGCCGGAGCUGUUGCAGCAUUUCACGCUCUCGGAGCAGUUUUGUCGCCAGCAUUUCCUCUCCGGUCUGCUGCUGCAGGAGCUGAAGAGCAGCCUGAACGAGAUCGGUCAUGUGCGUCGCCAUGCGCUGUCCAUCUUCAAGGAUCUGCUAGCCAAGCAUGAGCUGGAUGCACGCUAUCAGCAGCGCGGCCAACUGUGCCGCAUCGCGCUUCUGUAUGUGCCCUGGCUGGGCAUUGUCAUGGACAACCUGCAUCGCAUCGAUGAUCUCUCCGACUCCGGCGGCUGCACGCCCAACGGGCAUGUCUAUGCGGACUCCGCGUCCUAUACGAAGCGUCUCAGCUGUUCCAGCAGCUAUGUUUUCAGCAAGGACUCGUCAACCUUUAGCUCGCUGACCUCGACGCCCAGAUCUAAAAACCGGCUCACCCUUCACACCGAUCAGGCGAGUCCCUGUCGCACCUCCAUGCACAUUAAGGAUCAUAACUACUUGGCUGCGAUUGCUGGCACAGCCAUUGGCAAUGGCAUCUCCAAUCUGUCGCUCAACUCGAAUUCCGAUUCUGGCCACUCGCAGGACACGACAACAAUUGGAGCUUACACGAAUGGCGAAACGGAUGUGGCGUUGCGAAAUGGCCACAAUCGGUCGGUGAGCGUGACGCAUGCACAAGUCCUGGCACGCUGCGAUAAGUUCAGUGCGGCGGAGAGCAAGGACCUGCUGCUUGGCUUCCUGUUCAUUGUGAAGCAUCUGUCGCAGGAUCAAAUGGUCGCCUGGUGGCAGAACUGCAACGAGACGGAGACACUGCAGUUCCUGUCAAUUUUGGAUCUGUGCCUGCUGCAGUUCCGCUAUGUGGGUAAGAAGAAUGUUGUGCUAGCCAGUGAUGCACGCCUCCAGAGGCCUACCAAGGCACACACACUGCCCGCACGCAGCACACCGCCUGUGCUGGAGAACGGCAGCCAAGAACCAAACACUGGCACUCUCACCCAGACGCGAGAGCAUCUGCUGGAGGAUAUGGACCUGUCGGCCAGAUCCCAGCAGGCGCUUUACGAGUCCAAUCUAGCCACGGAGGUGGGCAUGAUAAUACUGGACUGCCUGGGACUCUAUGUGCUGCAGUUCCGACAGCUGCUGGCGGAGAGUCUUGUGCUGCCCAAGCUGGCGCGUGUCUAUUUGCGCUUCCUGCAGCUGGGCCAGUCGGAGCGUCUGUCCAAGCACGUGUUCGCCGCCCUGCGCGCCUUCAUCAACAACUAUUCGAUGGCCCUGUUCAAGGGCAAUGCCAUGCUCUGUGGCCAGAUGGUCUAUGAGCUGCUCAAGGCCUGCGACAGCCGGCUGGUGGACAUACGCCAUGAAUCCUGCGCCGUUCUGUAUCUACUGAUGCGCAGCAACUUUGAGUUUAGCGGCCGCAAGGCACUCACCCGCGUCCAUCUGCAGGUCAUCAUCUCGGUGUCGCAGAUGAUUGGCAAUGUGAUUGGCCUGAACAAUGCCCGUUUCCAGGAGAGCUUGUCUAUUAUCAACAGCUAUGCCAACAGCGACAAGGCCAUGAAGGGCACGGGCUUUCCCCUGGAAGUCAAGGAUCUGACGCGACGCGUGCGCACAGUGCUGAUGGCGACGGCGCAAAUGCAGGCCCAUCACAUGGACCCGGAACGGCUGCUCGAACUGCAAUACUCGCUGGCCAACUCGUAUGCCUCGACACCGGAGCUGCGACACACUUGGCUGGUGACCAUGGCGCGCAAUCACGAGCAGAAUGGCAAUCUCUCGGAGGCCGCCUGCUGUCAUCUCCAUAUUGCGGCGCUCAUGUGCGAAUAUCUGCGCCUGCGCGGCGGCUGCACGCUCAGCUGGUCGUCAACAGCAUUUGGCAAGAUAUCGCGCAACAUUCCACUGGACGAGCAGGGCCUGAAGCUGGAUGCGGGCGCCCAGGACUCACAGUACACAGAGCAAAUGCUGCUGGAGCAGCUCAAGCAAUGUGCCGACUUCCUCGAUCGUGCCGAGCGUUUCGAGUGCCUCGGCGAACUCUACAAGCUCAUCCUGCCCAUCUACGAGCGUGCGCGCAACUUUAUUGAACUGGCCCAAAGCUAUGAGCAUCUCACCCAGGCCUACAAUAAAAUUGUCGAGGUGAAUCGUUCCGGCAAGCGCAUGUUGGGCCGCUUCUAUCGGGUUGUCUUCUAUGGCAUGAUGUACUUUGAGGAGGAUCACGCCAUUGAGUUUGUGUACAAGGAGCCAAAGUUGACAUCGCUUAGCGAAAUCUCGGAUCGUUUGGCCAAACAAUAUAAGGAAAAGUUUGGUGCCGAUGUCGUCAAACUCAUCAUGGAUUCAUCGCCGGUAAAAGUUGACGAAUUGGAUGCGAAACUAGCCUACAUACAAGUCACCCAUGUGAUACCCUUCUUCACCAAAGACGAGCUCGAUCAGCGUCUGAAUGAGUUCGAACAGAAUCAUGAUGUGGACACAUUCAUGUAUGAAACGCCCUUUACCAAAUCCGGCGCAGCGCGUGGCAGCGUUGAGGAGCAAUGGAAACGCAAAACGGUCAUUAAGACUCAAUAUUCGUUUCCGUACGUGCUCAAACGUAUACCCGUCAAAUCGCGUGAGAUUAUCGAGCUGAGUCCCAUAGAGGUGGCCAUCGAUGAGAUGCAAUCAAAGGUUUCAGAGCUGGAGGAAAUUAUUUUGCCCCCGGCGGAUGUCAAGAAGUUGCAGCUGCGCCUGCAGGGCAGCGUGGCAGUUACCGUGAACGCAGGUCCAUUGGCCUAUGCGCACGCCUUCCUGGACGCUAAGGUGAUCAAAAACUUUUCGCUGGAUCGCGUUGAGGAUCUGAAGGAUGUGUUCCGAGACUUUAUUGGUGUCUGUCACAAGGCACUGUGUGUAAACGAGCGCAUGAUCAGUGCCGAUCAGAAGGAGUAUCAUCAUGUGCUCAAGGAGAACUACGAGAAGCUUUGUCAAGCGCUCAGUGAGUUACUCCAAGAUGAGUCAUUCCAGCCGCUUAGCGAUGAUGCCGACACAGCCGCCCAGCGCAAUAGCAUGGCUUUAUUCAAUGCGAUCAGUGGGGCCUCACAUAACUCAAGUACAGCUUAAGUUCAAAACCAAACAAAAACAAAAACAGUUAAAACAAAUACCAACCAAUACCAAUACCAAUACCAAUACCAAUACCAAUACCAAUACCAAAAUACACACAUACUACGCACAGCUACUAAAAACGGUUUUAACAAAAGCAACGUAGAAGCAUAAAUUGUAGCUUUUAACUUGUUUGGUGUUCCUUUGUAAUGAUGUUUGAUCUUUGAUCUUUGACCUUUGAUGUUUGAUGUUGUCGUUGUUGUUGUGGCAGGUAAACUCUGAAAUUCGCCCCAUACCUUGGUUUGUGUCUCUCAUCUAACGGCUAAACGCACGCAUACAUAUGACUAACGCCCAGGUUUUGGUUUUGCCGUUUAUUAAAGUCCAUGCAAACACCAGCAAAUGCCACAUAUAAAUCCCACACAAACAAUACAGCAUAUAGCAGUAUACUAUAUAUACGAUAUACAAUAUAUACGAACACGCACACAUCCACCACACGAUAAACGAAAUUGUAACUAAUGUUUCCACCAGUUGACCAAGUUCCAGUACACAUGAGAAACACUUGUUAAUUCAUAAACCCGAUUAGCAUAACGAAUUAUUUAAUUGUUGUUAAA